UAUUGCGAAGGAGGUGAACUGUACUUUCUGGAAUCACAUCAAACAUUUGUUUACGGCUUGAGAGUUCUUUUUCAACUCCUUUUGCUCUCGACCACCGUGAAAGCAGACGCCACCGUCUGGGGUUCUUUCAAUGCAAAAUUUUAUGGUCCAGGGGACGUUUUGAAGACGAAAAACGGGCGACUCCUGGCGGCCAUCAGCAGGAAUGAAGUCGUGAUGGCCACUCUUCAUGGCAAAAAAAACAUCGAAAUCUUCAUCGCGACACAUGAUAAAUCACGAACCAAGGUAAGAUCGCUCAUGUCUUGCUUAAAAAUUGUCGUGUCUGGCAAAAAUUUCAAAUCGACUUUUGAUGACUUCAGAUCAGGCCCGCCACAAGGGGGGGGGAUACUGGGUCCCUGGUACCGGGGCCCGUGCUGCCCGUGAAAAACCACUACGAAUUCACAUGCAACCCUUGUUUCGUAGGAAAAAGUGAAAAAUUUAUCCUAAAAAGAUGACUUCAGAUCAGGCCCGCCACAAGGGGGGGGGGAUACUGGGUCCCUGGUACCGGGGCCCGGGCCCCGGAGGGGGCCCGUGCUGCCCGUGAAAAACCACUACGAAUUCACAUGCAACCCUUGUUUCGUAGGAAAAAGUGAAAAAUUUACCCUAAAAAUUUCGCAAAAGGUGAUCAAAAACACGCUGGGGCACUGUAGGAUUCUUCUUAAAUUUUUAAAGAAGUAUACUUCUUGGAAAAUU
This 729-nucleotide long non-coding RNA is filed under the name Bemisia tabaci. RNAcentral describes it as "lncRNA ENSASIAIIG012064". The record is from RNAcentral. Lineage: Eukaryota; Metazoa; Arthropoda; Insecta; Hemiptera; Aleyrodidae.